AACGAACGCUGGCGGCAUGCCUAACACAUGCAAGUCGAACGAGACCUUCGGGUCUUGUUGCGAACGGGGGCGUCACGCGUCGGAAGCUUCCCUUAUGUUCGGAAUUACUCUUCGCAGGGGGUGAUAAUUCCGGAUAAUUUCUUCUAACCAAAGAUUUAUCGCCCUUGGAUGGGCCCGCAUUGUAUUUGCUAGUUGGUAGCGUAAAAGCCUACCAAGGCGACGAUCCAUAGCUGGUCUGAGAGGAUGAUCAGCCACACUGGGACUGUGACACGGCCCAGACUCCUAGAGGAGGCAGCAGUGGGGAAUAUUGGACAAUGGGCGAGAGCCUGAUCCAGCAAGGCCGCGUGAGUGAUUAAGGCCUGAGGGUUGUAAAGCAGUUUUACCCGGGAUGAUAAUGACAGUACCGGGAGAAUAAGCGCCGGCUAACUCCGUG
This 433-nucleotide ribosomal RNA is filed under the name uncultured bacterium. RNAcentral's name for it is "partial 16S ribosomal RNA". It matches the Rfam family "Bacterial small subunit ribosomal RNA", at positions 29 to 507 of the family's 1533-position model. The record is from RNAcentral.